This 628-nucleotide long non-coding RNA is filed under the name Danio rerio (zebrafish). RNAcentral's name for it is "lncRNA si:ch211-272f15.5 (ENSDARG00000097602.2)". Lineage: Eukaryota; Metazoa; Chordata; Actinopteri; Cypriniformes; Danionidae. The record is from RNAcentral.
UGUACUGCAUGUCUUUGGACUGUGGGGGAACCCGGAGGAAACCCACCCGAAGGCAGGGAGAACAUGCAAACUCCACACAGAAACGCCAACUGAGCUGAGGUUCAAACCAGCGACCUUCUUGCUGUGAGGCGACAGCACUACCUACUGCGCCACUGCCUUGCCUCUAUCACUUCUUGAUGGCAGUAAUUAAUACAUUGGAGAUUAAACAUGACUUGAAAUGUUUGCUAUUACUUGAGCAUUACAAAAAAAACCAACCAACAACAAAAACUCAUGGAUCGACUGAAGUGACCUGUAAUGUGUUACACCCGUGACUUUCAGGCCAACUCGAACAAGCUUCUGUUCAUGAGACCAGACAGUGAAACAAAGAGCCGAGUAAUCCUCUGUGCAGAACCAGUCUUUUCUUCCAGGAAUAACUCUGAGGCUGCUCAUGAUUCGAUCACGAUGAGACCGUUUCAGGCCUUUAAAAACAGCCUGUUUUGAUGAACCUAAGAUCUUAUCUUUAGUUAAUUCGAUUCAAGUUUAUUUGUAGAGCGCUUUUCACAAUGAGUAUCAUUACAAAGCAGCUGUGCAAAAUGUGCAUACAUUACUGUCAAAAUCAGAAAGAGUUAAGGUGUCUUAUAUAGGCUAG